UGCCAGAUUUCUCCACGCUUUAUCAAAACAGAAACGCUGGCAGUUGAGGCACUCUCAGCCCUCCAGGGAUGUUCUGCAUCCUCCAUAAGCCCCAAAGAGGCAAUGAGCGUCUCCUGCGCCGCGGCGGGGAGGGGUGGGCGAUAUCCCGGAGUGCUUUCCUUCUAAAAGAAACACUGAACGAGCCCGGCACUCAGCAGCACUUCCAGUAAAACCCAUUCAAUCUCGGCAAUUCAUCCCACAAAUAUGUGUGGGAUGCUGGGAACUCCUCGGGACCGACGGGCACAGAUGGGCUCCGUCUGGAGCAGCGGCCGCAGCUCUUUGCUCCGCGUGGUAACGGCGUGAGUAACCAGAGACCUCCAUCCAGAACUUUAUUUAUCUUAUCUCUGGAACUCGGCGAAGCAUUUCAGGCUGUGACUUCUGCGGGGGGAAAAAAAAAAAAAAAAAAAGGAAAGGAAAGGAUGGAAGAAAGGCUGUUAAUCAAAGAGCCCCCAGCGGGAACCUCCACGUUUACUAGAAAAGGGAAAAGUUCAGGCGCUGAUUUGCCCGGGGGUUGUGCAGGAAGGGAUGAAGUAAAGGCUGGGACGGUGCAGGGCGAGCCGGGCUGCGAAAUGGAACGUGAAGAAAUGAAGAGCUGGAGCUGCUGGGGGGGAUUUCUGUGGAUGUGAGGACGGGAAGCGCCGGCGCUGUCAGCGCCCAUCCCGGCACGGGGCCGCGGCACCCCCGGGUGGGGAAAGGGGGACGGUCAGCCGGCGGCGUUGGGUGAAUAGCUGCCCGUGGGGGCAGAGGGGUGGGCGGAGCCGCUGCCCCCUCCCUGCUAUGCAGGCCGUGUCAGCUUCACAGCCGUGUCCGGCCAUUCCCCGCGGCGCUGCGGUAGCCCCCACAACGCGCUGCUGCUCCUCGUGAGCCCCCGUUUCCCUUCGUGAGUCCCCCCGAUUCCCUCACGAAGCUCUCUGUCCCUGCGUUCUCUCCUCCCCCCCCCCCCCCCCCCGAUGCGUGUGACCGCACAGCACCCCGUGACCGCACAGUGCCCCGUAACGCCCGCCCCUCCCCCCCCGGACCCCCGCAGGGCCGCUCCCCACGUUCCCGCCACCCGCGCGCUCCCUU
Molecule: long non-coding RNA, 1104 nt
Filed under: Gallus gallus (chicken)
Lineage: Eukaryota; Metazoa; Chordata; Aves; Galliformes; Phasianidae
Description: lncRNA (ENSGALG00010027764.1)
Source: RNAcentral